AGUGGGGAAUAUUGGACAAUGGGGGCAACCCUGAUCCAGCCAUGCCGCGUGAGUGAUGAAGGCCUUAGGGUUGUAAAGCUCUUUUAACGGUGAAGAUAAUGACGGUAACCGUAGAAAAAGCCCCGGCUAACUUCGUGCCAGCAGCCGCGGUAAUACGAAGGGGGCUAGCGUUGUUCGGAUUUACUGGGCGUAAAGCGCUCGUAGGUGGUGUCGCAAGUCAGGGGUGAAAUCCCGGAGCUUAACUCCGGAACUGCCUUUGAAACUGCGAUGCUGGAAUCUCAAAGGGGGUGGCGGAAUUGCUAAUGUAGGGGUGAAAUCCGUAGAUAUUAGCAGGAACACCGAUGGCGAAGGCAGCCACCUGGAUGAGUAUUGACACUGAGGAGCGAAAGCGUGGGGAUCAAA
This 402-nucleotide ribosomal RNA is filed under the name uncultured Rickettsiales bacterium. RNAcentral's name for it is "bacterial SSU rRNA". It matches the Rfam family "Bacterial small subunit ribosomal RNA", at positions 353 to 772 of the family's 1533-position model. The record is from RNAcentral. Lineage: Bacteria; Pseudomonadati; Pseudomonadota; Alphaproteobacteria; Rickettsiales.